This is a long non-coding RNA of Lagopus leucura (white-tailed ptarmigan), 230 nucleotides long. RefSeq lists it as uncharacterized. The transcript has 3 exons. NCBI's taxonomy places the organism in Eukaryota, Metazoa, Chordata, Aves, Galliformes, Phasianidae. The record is from RefSeq and is a predicted model, not a curated record.
CCCUCAUCUAGAGUUUUGCAGUGAGUCCAGGAUGUGGAUGUAUAAUUCCAAUUUCAAAACCAGAUAAUAAAACGAAGGAAAGCUCUAAGAGUCAUUGGUAGCUCUGUGGAAUCACUAGAAUAUGAGCAUCAUCUCCCAAAAAACUCCAUAUGAAGAGAAAGGAUCUCUUGCAGACACAUUUAUACUAUCAUAAAGCUCUGCGAAAGUGCUUUGAUUGCACGUGGUCAUGA